Molecule: non-coding RNA, 383 nt
Filed under: Stegodyphus mimosarum
Lineage: Eukaryota; Metazoa; Arthropoda; Arachnida; Araneae; Eresidae
Description: eukaryotic small subunit ribosomal RNA
Rfam family: Eukaryotic small subunit ribosomal RNA
Source: Rfam by way of RNAcentral
AUGCCGUUAGAGGGUACCAAACUUAAAGGAGCAGAGAGAGGAAAAUAGCAGGAUUGCUGUAGUCCUUGGAUCGUACCUUACUACUUGUAUAACUGUGUCAGUUCUAGAGCUAAUACAUGCAGCAGAGCUACGACCCUCUGGGGUCAAGCGCUUUUAUUAGACCAAAACCAAUCUGACCUCGUGCCUGUAUUAUGUGGUGACUCUGUAUAACUUUGGGCUGAUCGCACGGGCUCUUCCCGGCGACGUAUCUGUCAAGUGGCUGUCUUAUCAACUCUCGAUGGUAGGUUACGCGCCUACCAUGAUCGUAACGGGUGACGGAGAAUCCGGUUUCGAUUCUGGAGAGGCAGCCUGAGAAACGGCUACCGCAUCCAAGGAAGGCAGCA